Molecule: ribosomal RNA, 441 nt
Filed under: uncultured Azotobacter sp.
Lineage: Bacteria; Pseudomonadati; Pseudomonadota; Gammaproteobacteria; Pseudomonadales; Pseudomonadaceae
Description: bacterial SSU rRNA
Rfam family: Bacterial small subunit ribosomal RNA
Source: RNAcentral
UGGGGAAUAUUGGACAAUGGGCGAAAGCCUGAUCCAGCCAUGCCGCGUGUGUGAAGAAGGUCUUCGGAUUGUAAAGCACUUUAAGUUGGGAGGAAGGGCUGCUGGUUAAUACCCUGCAGUUUUGACGUUACCAACAGAAUAAGCACCGGCUAACUUCGUGCCAGCAGCCGCGGUAAUACGAAGGGUGCAAGCGUUAAUCGGAAUUACUGGGCGUAAAGCGCGCGUAGGUGGUUGGGUAAGUUGAAUGUGAAAGCCCCGGGCUCAACCUGGGAACUGCAUCCACAACUGCCCGACUAGAGUACGGAAGAGGGUGGUGGAAUUUCCUGUGUAGCGGUGAAAUGCGUAGAUAUAGGAAGGAACACCAGUGGCGAAGGCGACCACCUGGACUGAUACUGACACUGAGGUGCGAAAGCGUGGGGAGCAAACAGGAUUAGAUACCCU